GUUGGGAGCUCUCCCAUAUGGUCGACCUGCAGGCGCCGCGAAUUCACUAGUGAUUCGUAUUACCGCGGCUGCUGGCACGUAGUUAGCCGGACCUUAUAAAUGGUACCGUCAUUGAUUCUUCCCAUUCUUUCGAAGUUUACAUACCGAAAUACUUCAUCCUUCACGCGGCGUUGCUGGGUCAGGCUUUCGCCCAUUGCCCAAAAUUCCCGACUGCUGCCUCCCGUAGGAGUCUGACCCGUUAUUCAGUGUCAGUGUGACCGACCGUCCUCUUAGACCGGUUACAGAUCGUAGCCUUGGUAAGCCAUUACCUUACCAACUAGCUAAUCUGCCGCAAGCUCCUCUUCAAGCGAAUUGCUCCUUUAACAACUGUCAUCAUAAGAUGCCGCUGCAUUAUGCGGUAUUAGCGUCCGUUUCCGGACGUUAUUCCCCACUCGAAGGUAGAUUACUUACGUGUUACUCACCCGUGCGCCACUCUAUACACUCUCCGAAGAGAGCUUUAAUCGUUCGACUUGCAUGUCUGAGGCACGCCGCCAGCGUUGAUUCUGAGCCAUGAUCAAACUCUAAUCGAAUUUCCGCCGCCGCCAUGGCGGCCGGGAGCAUGCGAC
RNAcentral lists this ribosomal RNA (605 nucleotides) under uncultured Acidobacteriota bacterium. Its description in RNAcentral is "uncultured Acidobacteria bacterium partial 16S ribosomal RNA". The record is from RNAcentral. Lineage: Bacteria; Pseudomonadati; Acidobacteriota.